Molecule: long non-coding RNA, 292 nt
Organism: Manacus vitellinus (golden-collared manakin)
Lineage: Eukaryota; Metazoa; Chordata; Aves; Passeriformes; Pipridae
Exons: 3
Source: RefSeq, a predicted model, not a curated record
UACUCCACGCAAAGUCAAAGUCAGCCAAGUGCGGAUGACACCUGAUCUGGCAGUGUGACAUUUCCUUCCUUGAAAAGGAUAGCACAGCCCUAGAGUGCAGGCUGCGAAGGUUUAGGAGUCAAGAGGGAACAGGAAAUUAACUUGCAGAAGAUAAAGGAAUGGCAUUCUCAUGUUCUCCAGCAGGGGGAAAUGGGAUCCUGAGAAACUCAACUUCCUUUAAUUUGCCAGAAGACAGCUUUGCCUGAGAAACAAGCUUUCAAGCCAGAAGGCAGACCAGCUCUAAUAUUCACCC